CCUUUUGUAUAAUGGGUCAGCGACUUAUAUUCUGUAGCAAGGUUAACCGAAUAGGGGAGCCGAAGGGAAACCGAGUCUUAACUGGGCGUUAAGUUGCAGGGUAUAGACCCGAAACCCGGUGAUCUAGCCAUGGGCAGGUUGAAGGUUGGGUAACACUAACUGGAGGACCGAACCGACUAAUGUUGAAAAAUUAGCGGAUGACUUGUGGCUGGGGGUGAAAGGCCAAUCAAACCGGGAGAUAGCUGGUUCUCCCCGAAAGCUAUUUAGGUAGCGCCUCGUGAAUUCAUCUCCGGGGGUAGAGCACUGUUUCGGCAAGGGGGUCAUCCCGACUUACCAACCCGAUGCAAACUGCGAAUACCGGAGAAUGUUAUCACGGGAGACACACGGCGGGUGCUAACGUCCGUCGUGAAGAGGGAAACAACCCAGACCGCCAGCUAAGGUCCCAAAGUCAUGGUUAAGUGGGAAACGAUGUGGGAAGGCCCAGACAGCCAGGAUGUUGGCUUAGAAGCAGCCAUCAUUUAAAGAAAGCGUAAUAGCUCACUGGUCGAGUCGGCCUGCGCGGAAGAUGUAACGGGGCUAAACCAUGCACCGAAGCUGCGGCAGCGACACUGUGUGUUGUUGGGUAGGGGAGCGUUCUGUAAGCCUGCGAAGGUGUGCUGUGAGGCAUGCUGGAGGUAUCAGAAGUGCGAAUGCUGACAUAAGUAACGAUAAAGCGGGUGAAAAGCCCGCUCGCCGGAAGACCAAGGGUUCCUGUCCAACGUUAAUCGGGGCAGGGUGAGUCGACCCCUAAGGCGAGGCCGAAAGGCGUAGUCGAUGGGAAACAGGUUAAUAUUCCUGUACUUGGUGUUACUGCGAAGGGGGGACGGAGAAGGCUAUGUUGGCCGGGCGACGGUUGUCCCGGUUUAAGCGUGUAGGCUGGUUUUCCAGGCAAAUCCGGAAAAUCAAGGCUGAGGCGUGAUGACGAGGCACUACGGUGCUGAAGCAACAAAUGCCCUGCUUCCAGGAAAAGCCUCUAAGCAUCAGGUAACAUCAAAUCGUACCCCAAACCGACACAGGUGGUCAGGUAGAGAAUACCAAGGCGCUUGAGAGAACUCGGGUGAAGGAACUAGGCAAAAUGGUGCCGUAACUUCGGGAGAAGGCACGCUGAUACGUAGGUGAAGUCCCUCGCGGAUGGAGCUGAAAUCAGUCGAAGAUACCAGCUGGCUGCAACUGUUUAUUAAAAACACAGCACUGUGCAAACACGAAAGUGGACGUAUACGGUGUGACGCCUGCCCGGUGCCGGAAGGUUAAUUGAUGGGGUCAGCGCAAGCGAAGCUCUUGAUCGAAGCCCCGGUAAACGGCGGCCGUAACUAUAACGGUCCUAAGGUAGCGAAAUUCCUUGUCGGGUAAGUUCCGACCUGCACGAAUGGCGUAAUGAUGGCCAGGCUGUCUCCACCCGAGACUCAGUGAAAUUGAACUCGCUGUGAAGAUGCAGUGUACCCGCGGCAAGACGGAAAGACCCCGUGAACCUUUACUAUAGCUUGACACUGAACAUUGAGCCUUGAUGUGUAGGAUAGGUGGGAGGCUUUGAAGUGUGGACGCCAGUCUGCAUGGAGCCGACCUUGAAAUACCACCCUUUAAUGUUUGAUGUUCUAACGUUGACCCGUAAUCCGGGUUGCGGACAGUGUCUGGUGGGUAGUUUGACUGGGGCGGUCUCCUCCUAAAGAGUAACGGAGGAGCACGAAGGUUGGCUAAUCCUGGUCGGACAUCAGGAGGUUAGUGCAAUGGCAUAAGCCAGCUUGACUGCGAGCGUGACGGCGCGAGCAGGUGCGAAAGCAGGUCAUAGUGAUCCGGUGGUUCUGAAUGGAAGGGCCAUCGCUCAACGGAUAAAAGGUACUCCGGGGAUAACAGGCUGAUACCGCCCAAGAGUUCAUAUCGACGGCGGUGUUUGGCACCUCGAUGUCGGCUCAUCACAUCCUGGGGCUGAAGUAGGUCCCAAGGGUAUGGCUGUUCGCCAUUUAAAGUGGUACGCGAGCUGGGUUUAGAACGUCGUGAGACAGUUCGGUCCCUAUCUGCCGUGGGCGCUGGAGAAUUGAGGGGGGCUGCUCCUAGUACGAGAGGACCGGAGUGGACGCAUCACUGGUGUUCGGGUUGUCAUGCCAAUGGCACUGCCCGGUAGCUAAAUGCGGAAGAGAUAAGUGCUGAAAGCAUCUAAGCACGAAACUUGCCCCGAGAUGAGUUCUCCCUGACUCCUUGAGAGUCCUGAAGGAACGUUGAAGACGACGACGUUGAUAGGCCGGGUGUGUAAGCGCAGCGAUGCGUUGAGCUAACCGGUACUAAUGAACCGUGAGGCUUAACCUUACAACGCCGAAGGUGUUU
Molecule: ribosomal RNA, 2358 nt
Filed under: Escherichia coli
Lineage: Bacteria; Pseudomonadati; Pseudomonadota; Gammaproteobacteria; Enterobacterales; Enterobacteriaceae
Description: partial 23S ribosomal RNA
Rfam family: Bacterial large subunit ribosomal RNA
Source: RNAcentral